GAUGAACGCUGACAGAAUGCUUAACACAUGCAAGUCUUUGGCGAAGCUGUGCUUGCACAGCCUAGCCAAGGCGGACGGGUGAGUAACGCGUAAGGAACUUGCCCUGCAGUCAGGGAUAACAGACGGAAACGACUGAUAAGACCUGGUCAAGUCAGGCGGACUCAUGUCCAGCCUGAUGAAAAGAGAUGCUGCAGGAGAGCCUUGCGUCCUAUUAGCUUGUUGGUGGGGUAACGGCCCACCAAGGCGAUGAUAGGUAGCCGGCCUGAGAGGGUGGACGGCCACAAGGGGACUGAGAUACGGCCCUUACUCCUACGGGAGGCAGCAGUGGGGAAUAUUGGACAAUGGGGGCAACCCUGAUCCAGCAAUUCUGUGUGCACGAUGAAGGUUUUCGGAUUGUAAAGUGCUUUCAGCAGGGAAGAAAAAAAUGACGGUACCUGCAGAAGAAGCUACGGCUAAAUACGUG
RNAcentral lists this ribosomal RNA (463 nucleotides) under uncultured bacterium. RNAcentral's name for it is "partial 16S ribosomal RNA". It matches the Rfam family "Bacterial small subunit ribosomal RNA", at positions 28 to 507 of the family's 1533-position model. The record is from RNAcentral.